ACUUUAUUUUGUUUAAUGAAUGGGGGAACACGAACAAAGGAUGGACGUGUACGUGUACGUGUACGUGUAUGUGUAUGUGGACGUUUAUAGUCUACUCCUGCUGCAGAGUUUCUAUGUGUCCAGCUCCUCGAAAUAACGUAGAGCUCUGUGCAAUAAAUUAUGACCAUGGACAGCUUCGGCAGCGAGCUACAGGCGCUACAGUCUCCGUCUCCGUCCCUUUU
RNAcentral lists this long non-coding RNA (221 nucleotides) under Drosophila guanche. Lineage: Eukaryota; Metazoa; Arthropoda; Insecta; Diptera; Drosophilidae. The record is from RNAcentral.